This 762-nucleotide ribosomal RNA is filed under the name Flavobacterium johnsoniae. RNAcentral's name for it is "bacterial SSU rRNA". It matches the Rfam family "Bacterial small subunit ribosomal RNA", at positions 21 to 784 of the family's 1533-position model. Lineage: Bacteria; Pseudomonadati; Bacteroidota; Flavobacteriia; Flavobacteriales; Flavobacteriaceae. The record is from RNAcentral.
GGCUCAGGAUGAACGCUAGUCGCAGGCUUAACACAUGCAAGUCGAGGGGUAGAAGUCUUCGGAUUUUGAGACCGGCGCACGGGUGCGUAACGCGUAUGCAAUCUGCCUUUCACAGAGGGAUAGCCCAGAGAAAUUUGGAUUAAUACCUCAUAGNAUUANAAGAUGGCAUCAUUUUAUAAUUAAAGUCACAACGGUGAAAGAUGAGCAUGCGUCCCAUUAGCUAGUUGGUAAGGUAACGGCUUACCAAGGCUACGAUGGGUAGGGGUCCUGAGAGGGAGAUCCCCCACACUGGUACUGAGACACGGACCAGACUCCUACGGGAGGCAGCAGUGAGGAAUAUUGGUCAAUGGGCGCAAGCCUGAACCAGCCAUGCCGCGUGCAGGAUGACGGUCCUAUGGAUUGUAAACUGCUUUUGUACGGGAAGAAACACUCCGACGUGUCGGAGCUUGACGGUACCGUAAGAAUAAGGAUCGGCUAACUCCGUGCCAGCAGCCGCGGUAAUACGGAGGAUCCAAGCGUUAUCCGGAAUCAUUGGGUUUAAAGGGUCCGUAGGCGGUUUGGUAAGUCAGUGGUGAAAGCCCAUCGCUCAACGGUGGAACGGCCAUUGAUACUGCCAGACUUGAAUUAUUGGGAAGUAACUAGAAUAUGUAGUGUAGCGGUGAAAUGCUUAGAGAUUACAUGGAAUACCAAUUGCGAAGGCAGGUUACUACCAAUUUAUUGACGCUGAUGGACGAAAGCGUGGGUAGCGAACAGGAUUAGAUA